RNAcentral lists this ribosomal RNA (133 nucleotides) under uncultured bacterium. Its description in RNAcentral is "partial 16S ribosomal RNA". The record is from RNAcentral.
GGAGUUAGCCGAUGCUUAUUCCUCAGGUACCGUCAUUUUUUCUUCCCUGAGAAAAGAGGUUUACAAUCCAAGAACCUUCCUCCCUCACGCGGUAUUGCUCCGUCAGGCUUUCGCCCAUUGCGGAAAAUUCCCC